Molecule: small nuclear RNA, 122 nt
Filed under: Exaiptasia diaphana
Lineage: Eukaryota; Metazoa; Cnidaria; Anthozoa; Actiniaria; Aiptasiidae
Description: U5 spliceosomal RNA
Rfam family: U5 spliceosomal RNA
About the family: U5 RNA is a component of both types of known spliceosome. The precise function of this molecule is unknown, though it is known that the 5' loop is required for splice site selection and p220 binding, and that both the 3' stem-loop and the Sm site are important for Sm protein binding and cap methylation.
Source: Rfam by way of RNAcentral
UUACUCUGGUUUCCCUUCAGAUCGCAUAAAUCUUUCGCCUUUUACUAAAGAUUUCCGUGGAGGGGAACAACUCAAUGAGUCUAUAGACCAAUUUUUUGAUGCCCUGCCUUAGUGGCGGGGCG